ACAAUGCCCAGACCUCCAGAAACCAUGUGUCAAGCUCGGAUUGCCUUAGACAGGUGCAAUUUAAGAACAGCUUUCAUCCUCUUUUCUCUCAUAUUGUCACACUAUGUGUUCUGACUUCUGGCUCCUUUCCUCACAAGAAGCUCACCCAGCUGGAACUCUUAUGGGACCUUGGCACCAGAGACCACAAAUUCCUCUUUGAAGUUUUCUAACAGCAACAAUGGUAUUUCUGACUUGGCUUUCUUGUAUUUCUCUCACGUUAACAAAAUUGGUUCAGCAUCUACCAUGGGCUACAUGCUGAGCUACAGAGUUUCGCUCUGUCGCCCAGGCUGGAGUGCAGUGGCGCGCGAUCUCGGUUCACUGCAAGCUCCACCUCCCGGGUUCACGCCAUUCUCCUGCCUCAGCCUCCUGAGUAGCUGGGACUACAGGCGCCCGCCACCACACCCAGGAAUCCAACUUGCUGUUUGCUAUCACAUGUGCUAUACAUGCUGUUGAUGAAACUGCUAAAGGGGCUGAAUGUGACUGACGUCUUUGGAAGGAUGAGACUUAGCGUGCCUGUACAGUUGUGUCCAAAUGCUGUCCUCAUCUCCCAAUGAAAAGCUGAACUAGGGCCAUGCCUGGGACAGACAGAGAAUGGCCUUCCAGCAGACAUGCCAAGAAGCAAGCCAGGGUCAGUGAGUGAAGAGGAGGGCAGGCCCAUUUGAAGCAACACAGUUUAUGUAAGUGUGAUCUAACUGCUUUCACUGGAAAUGGGUCAGACUCCAGUUGAGAGAACCAGGGGCCUGAAUGACCCCAGCAAAAUCACUGUGGCAAUUCUUUCAAUCACCUCUGAGAAUAUGGCCCUGUGACGACAUAAUGACGUUUGGAUUAAUUCCAGUCGGCUGUGUUUUCCCCUCCUUUCUUGCCUCCCCGUAGUUGAUUUGCCAAAUUUUUUUUGUUUGCUUAAAUACGCGGAACUAAACAGGAUACAUUAUAUGACAGUCUGUGAUAAAUUUACCACUGGGAAUAGGGAAAAAGUAUGGGAUAAAGAAAUAGGUAUUUUUCGCCUCUCACAGCUGUGAUUCAGUUCUGACUCAAAAGGAAGUGUGCCACCUACUGAAUCACAGAAACCACUUCCUGUGGCUGUUUGGUUUAUUCUGGAGGAGCAUCAGGCCAAGUGCUGCCCUGCCCUGACCCUGACUGGCUCUUCAGAGCCAAGGCAUUCACAGCUUGAGGUGGUUUGGCCUCAGACUCUUGAGAACAUUGCAUAUUAAAUUACAAGUGUUUCGUUUCCUAGCAAGGAGUCUUUAGCAACAUGAAAACGAACGUGUGUUAUUUGCAAACCAAGUAUAUCAUUACUGAACCUGAAUAUCCUUACUUUUUCAUAAGAUACAUGAAAAGAAAGAAGGAGAGAAGGAAGAAAGGAGGGCGGAAGGAAAGGAAGAAGGGAGAGAAGAAGAGAAGAAAGAAGCAGAGAAAGGAAGAGAAAAGAAAUUACGGCCAGUGCGGUGGCUCACGCCUGUAAUCCUAGCACUUUGGGAGGCCUAAGCGGGCUGAUCACCUGAGGUCAGGAGUUCGUAAGCCAGCCUGGCCAACAUGGUGAAACCCUAUCUCUACUAAAAAUACAAAAAUCAGCAGGGCAUGGUGGUGCGUGCCUGUAAUCCCAGCUACCUGGGAGGCUGAGGUAGGAGAAUCGCUGGAACCCGAGAGGCGGAGGCUGCAGUGAGUUGAGAUCAUGUCACUGCACUCCAGGCUGGGCAACAGAGUGAGACUCUGUCUCA
Molecule: long non-coding RNA, 1757 nt
Organism: Homo sapiens (human)
Lineage: Eukaryota; Metazoa; Chordata; Mammalia; Primates; Hominidae
Gene: LUCAT1
Product: lung cancer associated transcript 1
Source: Ensembl